Molecule: long non-coding RNA, 2089 nt
Organism: Strigops habroptila (Kakapo)
Lineage: Eukaryota; Metazoa; Chordata; Aves; Psittaciformes; Psittacidae
Exons: 2
Source: RefSeq, a predicted model, not a curated record
CGUCCCCAGUUCCUUCAGGAAGGUCAGAUCCUUUGGGUCAAUCUCCCACGACCCUGGGACAGAGAGAACAAGCAUAAUGGGGUUGCAGGUGGCCUCCUUGAUCUAGCAAGCACAAGAAGAGCUCACAAGCAUUCGCUGCCUGAAAAACUGUCCCCAAAAUCCAUGAAAUCUGAGACUUGUUCCUCCAAGGGAUGGGGAGCAAAGUAGUUUGUGGCAUCUCUUGGUCAGAACUGACACCAGAGGGAGAGUGUGUGUUGGGAAGUGAUUCCUGGGAAGGCUGUGAGCCCUUCUGCCAUGGGACAACCAGGAUCCCAGCCUCAGAAAGUCAGUGCUGCAACCAGGGAAGUGUGAGGUAGCCCAGGCCAGCUUACCAUAGCCAAGGCCAGCUGUGGAAGGAGCACUCCUCUGGUGUUGAGACACAGGGUACUUCAGUCUGGAUAUGAGCCCUGAGACACAAAAAGGAACAGGCGCUUCUUGAAGUUGAGGGGAGAUGUCUUCUUCUUCUGCUGUGAACGCUUCAGGAAGAUGCUCUCCAGGAGGACACUGGCCAUGUCGGCCCUGCCGGCCUCCUCCGUGCUGUGCUCACCACGUUGCUUUGGGCAGGACACCACCAACACAGUGCUCGCUGCCCACUGCUGGACCUCACUUAGCGCACUGUCUCCACUGCCCGAGGGGCAAGCUGGGGGUGCUGGGACCACCACGGCGGGGAAUCAGCUGCAGAGGUGUGCGGGCAGGUCAGUGCGGGGUAUCUGUGAUGUGACCUCUCCCUCUUCUGUCCCCUCUCCAGCGCCAGGCUGCAGACCAAGCCGCUACCCGGAUGGCUUUGGCUUCCGAUGGGUGCUGGAGGGGCCCCACGGGGGUGCAGAUGGACAGACAGACAUAGAUAGAGAGGGAGGAGCGCAGAGCCUAAGAAGCAACACCCAGAGGGCUCCCUCCUCUCCUCCAGCAUCAUGUGUGUAUGUUUGUGUGGGCCGUUUCCUCCUGCCAUAGCGCAGGCACUUUGUGCAGGGACGUGCUGACCUGGUUCUGUGGAAGGGGCAGCUGUGGGAGACCGGUCCCUAAAAACUUGUGGGUAGAUCCUGGCCUCAAAUAGCUGCUGAGAGCACAGAGUAGCCCUAAAGGUAUCCUUCCCCUCUGUGUCGAUGGAGCCUGCAGGAAAGCAAGGAUGAUGCUCGACCCAGUUUUCUCCCCCUCCAGGCUUGAAGGGCUGCCUCCAGCCAGCAAACAGAGGGGUUAAAUCCUUCCCCAGCCCUCCUCAGCAAAGCUCUUCCCUUGAGCCUCUCCAGGGAUGGUCCAGGUAGAAAAGGGCUCAGUUGAGAGCCCGUUGUCCCACUGCUGCCCUGCUUUCAGGGGGGCUGGAAAUCUGCACUGGCACAUCUCUUGGAGCAUCCUGUACCCUUUCAUGCUGCACUGUGGCACCCAGACAGCUCCAACACCCCCCAGAGCUCUGGCCUUCUCCUCCUCUGAAGGCUGUAACCAGUGCCUGACUCCAGCCUGAAUGUAACAGGGAGUUCAUGAGCUACAUGGAGCCUCUGCUGAACUCCCCUGGAGCCCUCCUCCAUGUCUCCUGCCCUGACUACCUACAUGCCCUGCUCCCCCUUCACCUCCACCUUUUUUCCUCCUACAAACACAGCUUUAGAGGGCAACCCAGAAGAAGCUGUUUCCCUUCCCUGCUGCCCUCAGCCCAUCUCCUCUGGGGGAGGCUCAGAGGUGCGCAGGAGCCAGGAGUUGAGCCCCCCUCCAUCAAGGCAGGCAGCCCAUCCCUUCCCCUCACACAGGAGGCAGGCAUUGGCUGAGCCAUCACAGGGACCAUGUGGGGACCAAAGAUGCCAGGACCCGGUCCCAAUAGCUGUGCCUCUCUCUGGGGCAUGCCCAGACCGGGAGGCAGGAGCAGGAGUGUUCCCAGACUCUCCCAGCACAGAUCCUGCUGCUGCAAUCCCGCCCCACUGCGGUGGCUAUAGCCAGAGAGGCUGAGAACAAGCAGGGUUCCCACUUCCAGGGUCCCCUUUCCCUACCCUUGUGGCCUUCAUGGGCCUUUCCCGCUUGUUUGGGUGGUUUAAAAAACAAAACAAAGCAAAAAAACCCUUCA